AACGAACGCUGGCGGCAUGCCUAACACAUGCAAGUCGAACGAGACCUUCGGGUCUAGUGGCGCACGGGUGCGUAACGCGUGGGAACCUGCCCUUAGGUUCGGAAUAACUCCCCGAAAGGGGUGCUAAUACCGGAUAAUCUCUUCGGACCAAAGAUUUAUCGCCUUUGGAUGGGCCCGCGUUGGAUUAGCUAGUUGGUAGGGUAAAAGCCUACCAAGGCGACGAUCCAUAGCUGGUCUGAGAGGAUGAUCAGCCACACUGGGAAUGAGACACGGCCCAGACUCCUACGGGAGGCAGCAGUGGGGAAUAUUGGACAAGGGGCGAAAGCCUGAUACAGCAAUGCCGCGUGAGUGAUGAAGGCCUUAGGGUUGUAAAGCUCUUUUACCCGGGAUGAUAAUGACAGUACCGGGAGAAUAAGCACCGGCUAACUCCGUG
RNAcentral lists this ribosomal RNA (433 nucleotides) under uncultured bacterium. Its description in RNAcentral is "partial 16S ribosomal RNA". It matches the Rfam family "Bacterial small subunit ribosomal RNA", at positions 29 to 507 of the family's 1533-position model. The record is from RNAcentral.